RNAcentral lists this ribosomal RNA (442 nucleotides) under uncultured bacterium. RNAcentral describes it as "partial 16S ribosomal RNA". It matches the Rfam family "Bacterial small subunit ribosomal RNA", at positions 338 to 795 of the family's 1533-position model. The record is from RNAcentral.
CCUACGGGCGGCAGCAGUAGGGAAUCUUUCACAAUGGGCGAAAGCCUGAUGGAGCAACGCCGCGUGCAGGAUGAAGGCCUUCGGGUUGUAAACUGCUUUCAUAAGCGAGAAAUAUGAUGGUAACUUAUGAAUAAGGAUCGGCUAACUACGUGCCAGCAGCCGCGGUCAUACGUAGGAUCCGAGCAUUAUCCGGAGUGACUGGGUGUAAAGAGUUGCGUAGGUGGCAUAAUAAGUAGCUAGUGAAAUCUGGUGGCUCAACCAUUCAGACUAUUAGCUAAACUGUUAAGCUCGAGACCGUUAGGGGUAACUGGAAUUUCUAGUGUAGGAGUGAAAUCCGUAGAUAUUAGAAGGAACACCAAUAGCGUAGGCAGGUUGCUGGGACGGUUCUGACACUAAGGCACGAAAGCGUAGGGAGCAAACGGGAUUAGAUACCCCUGUAGUC